Molecule: long non-coding RNA, 1271 nt
Organism: Oncorhynchus masou masou (cherry salmon)
Lineage: Eukaryota; Metazoa; Chordata; Actinopteri; Salmoniformes; Salmonidae
Exons: 3
Source: RefSeq, a predicted model, not a curated record
UAAGUUUAAUGUUAGUUUAUGGUUUAGGGUAAGGACGUCCCAGGGAAUCCAGAUAGAGUGAGAGACGGGCACGGUAUUUGAGAGCACAGCAGCGACACAGACAUUCAUUUAUUUUCAAGUUUUCGAGUGUCUGCCCAAGAUAGUUUCUUUAGAGAUGAUGAAAAGAAUUACCAAGAUGUCCUUGAUCCAAUUGAGGAACUGGCGAGGCCACUUCCAAGGCGAUGAUGGAGAUCUUCAAACACCCAUGGUUCUCCUGAGGUCAUCUUGAGUGACCGAGGUCGUAAACUCUGGAACAAGCCCCUCAUCCAGGUUUGGAUGAACAGACAAACCACACCCUCAAGACUGCCAUGGGCAAGUCCCUUGACUGGCUCCAAUAAUGGUGGGAGGACAACCUGAAGGUAAUUAUCUUUGCACACAACAGCAGCAUCAAGGCCUCCAGAGUACUCACCCUAUCACCUACUGUACGGACGGGAGUUGCCGCUGUUUACUGAGGUAUACAAUGCAAUUGUAUAUAAAAUUAUUGCCUAUACUGUAGUCUAAAAAAUGUGUGAUUGACUUUGUGUAUUUCUAUUGCUAUUUUUGUAUAACGUACUUUGAGGUCACUGAUACUCCACCUGAUGUGGAAGUUGUCGUACCAGAUCAGAACACCUUCAAGGACCACCUUCAGGCACGGACUGAGAAGGAUGUGGGUUUUUUUAUACCAGGUCAACAUUAUUGUCCGCUGUUAAUUUAUUUUCAGGCCUUCCAAGAGAUACAUAAGAGAUGCAUUUGUAAUAAUAUGAAAUAUAAUUUCAUUUAUUUAAAUUAUCAAUCAAGCUGAGACUGAACAUGGACAAGGCGCAGGAGAAACAGGAGGAGGGCCACCGGAGGAGAAUCAUGGGGACCAAGUGAUUCGACAUCUGGGAGAAUGACUUGGCUUGGAAGAAAGAUGAAAGAAAGGCGAGAACUGGGAAACCUUGCUUCUCUUUCACUCCUAGCUGGGGUCACCAUCCGUUAAGGUGAAUAGAAAUUCGGCUUGUCACCAAAAGCACUCACAAACUUCUACAGAGGCACAAUCGAGAGCAUCCUGGCGGGCUGUAUCACCGCCUGGUACGGCAACUGCUCCGCCCUCAACCGUAAGGCUCUCCAGAGGGUAGUGAGGUCUGCACAACGCAUCAUCGGGGGCAAACUACCUGCCCUCCAGGACACCUACACCACCCGAUGUUACAGGAAGGCCAUAAAGAUCAUCAAGGACAUCUACCACCCGAGCCACUGCCUGUUCACCCCGCUAU